CGCGGAGUAGAGCAGUGGUAGCUCGUCGGGCUCAUAACCCGGAGGUCGCAGGUUCGAGUCCUGUCUCCGCAA
This 72-nucleotide transfer RNA is filed under the name Bacteroidales bacterium. Its description in RNAcentral is "tRNA-Met". It matches the Rfam family "tRNA". From Rfam's summary of the family: Transfer RNA (tRNA) molecules are approximately 80 nucleotides in length. RNAcentral also lists the same sequence under 1 other name. The record is from RNAcentral. Lineage: Bacteria; Pseudomonadati; Bacteroidota; Bacteroidia; Bacteroidales.